CAGUCGCCACGGUAAUACGAAGGGUGCAAGCGUUAAUCGGAAUUACUGGGCGUAAAGCGUGCGUAGGUGGUGGUUUAAGUCCGUUGUGAAAGCCCUGGGCUCAACCUGGGAAUUGCAGUAGAUACUGGAUCACUAGAGUGUGGUAGAGGAUAGUGGAAUUUCCGGUGUAGCAGUGAAAUGCGUAGAGAUCGGAAGGAACAUCUGUGGCGAAGGCGACUAUCUGGGCCAACACUGACACUGAGGCACGAAAGCGUGGGGAGCAAACAGGAUUAGAUACCCCCGUAGUCCCUGUCUCUUAUAC
Molecule: ribosomal RNA, 301 nt
Filed under: uncultured bacterium
Lineage: Bacteria
Description: partial 16S ribosomal RNA
Rfam family: Bacterial small subunit ribosomal RNA
Source: RNAcentral